UGUGUCUGAGCCUCCUUUUCUCCAGGCUAAACAACCCCCCUUCCCUCAGCUGCUCCUUGUAUGACUUGUGCUCCAGACCCUUCACCCGUUCUGCUGUCCCUCUCUGGACCUGCUCCAGCACCUCACUGUCUUGUAGUGAGAGGCCCAAAACUGAGCAUGAGAUUUGAAGUGUGGCCUCUCCAGAGCUCAGUGGAAGGCGAUGAUCACUCCCCUUGUCCUGCUGGCCACGCUGUUUCUGCUACAGGCCAGGAUGCCAUUGCCUUCUUGGCCAGCUGAGCAUACAAUGGCUUGGGUUCAGCUGCUGUUGAGCAACACCCCCAGGUCCUUUCCAGCCACCCUUCCACAAGCCUGUAGCACUGCAUGGGACUGUUGUGACCCAAGUGCAGGACUCCGUACUUGGCCAUGCUGAGCCUCAGCCCAGAUCCCUCUGCAGAGCCUUCCUGCCCUCCAGCAGAUCAACAUUCCUUCCCAACUUAAUGUCAUCAGCAAACUGACUGGAGGUGCACUCAAUCCCCUUGUUCAGAUCAUCAGUAAAGACAUUAAACAGGGCCGAUCGCAGUACUGAGCCCCGAGGGACACUAGUGACUGGCCGAUGGUCAACAGCAGUGGCAGCCUGGCUGUGUCUGGCUGCCUGGUGCUGGGCAGGAGGUGCUCCUUGCAUGAGCUCAGCUGGGCAUGCCUCUGCCAAAAAUGACUGCAAAGAUGUUGGAAAUGCUGAAAGAUUUUGCUUGCUGUGGAGUCUUUGUUGCUGAGGCUGAAAUAGCUGUAAAAGGCAGAGCAGGAGACAGGGAGGGAGAAGAGGGGCAGGCUAAGCCCAGAGUCCAUCAAUGCUGCUUGGGGGCCCUGCAGUCCUGUUGGGGAUGGAGGCUGGCUGGAGGUGCUGAAAGGAGAAAAGGAGGUAAGGGCAUGUGUACUGUGUCUGAUCCACCGUUCCUCCAGAAGCUGGCCAUUCCAUCUCCUCCCAUCGCUGUCCUGCAAGUGCAGCGAUAGGUAACACAGGAUUAAAGGAAGUACAGGAGCUGAUGACUUUUCUGGUUGUGUCUUCAUAGCAUUUAGAGUACUACCUGACCUCCAAAGAUUCCAGUAGGUAAGAAAAAAAGGAUGAAAUUUUCUGGAUAAUAGUUUCUUUGCAGCAAUGUAAGCUGGUCUUGGCUGCUGCUGUGUUAAUGGUGCCUUAAAGAAAACUAUCAGCAGGCUAAUGGCAGCUUUGAAAACAAAAACUUGCCCUGCUUCAUCCUAUUAAUAUCCAAAGAGAUGAACUUUUCCAAUCCUAAUGAUCCAUUUAACUGCCAGGAUUAAACACAUCUCAAGAAAAAUUACGUACAAUUAAAAAGGAAGAAGCCUGUUAAUGUAACAUUGAGGCUGUGGGAUUGAGGACAGUCAAGCAACUGGAAGAGAGAUCUUUAAAACUGA
This 1413-nucleotide long non-coding RNA is filed under the name Ficedula albicollis (Collared flycatcher). RNAcentral describes it as "lncRNA (ENSFALG00000026803.1)". The record is from RNAcentral. Lineage: Eukaryota; Metazoa; Chordata; Aves; Passeriformes; Muscicapidae.